RNAcentral lists this small RNA (29 nucleotides) under Bombyx mori (domestic silkworm). RNAcentral describes it as "ovarian small RNA-11213". The record is from RNAcentral. Lineage: Eukaryota; Metazoa; Arthropoda; Insecta; Lepidoptera; Bombycidae.
ACCACAGGACUAUCAUCAAUUGCCUCAAC